Molecule: transfer RNA, 71 nt
Filed under: Terapon theraps (largescaled terapon)
Lineage: Eukaryota; Metazoa; Chordata; Actinopteri; Centrarchiformes; Terapontidae
Description: tRNA-Gln
Rfam family: tRNA
About the family: Transfer RNA (tRNA) molecules are approximately 80 nucleotides in length.
Source: RNAcentral
UAGGAAGUGGUGUAGCGGAAGCACUGAGAGUUUUGAUCUCUCCGGGCGGGGUUCGAAUCCCCCUUUCCUAA